ACCGGGAUGGAGCAGUUGGCAGCUCGUCUGGCUCAUAACCAGAAGGUCGAGGGUUCGAGUCCUUCUCCCGGCA
Molecule: transfer RNA, 73 nt
Filed under: Chlorobiaceae bacterium
Lineage: Bacteria; Pseudomonadati; Chlorobiota; Chlorobiia; Chlorobiales; Chlorobiaceae
Description: tRNA-Met
Rfam family: tRNA
About the family: Transfer RNA (tRNA) molecules are approximately 80 nucleotides in length. Their secondary structure includes four short double-helical elements and three loops (D, anti-codon, and T loops).
Source: RNAcentral